Molecule: long non-coding RNA, 2701 nt
Organism: Podarcis muralis (Common wall lizard)
Lineage: Eukaryota; Metazoa; Chordata; Lepidosauria; Squamata; Lacertidae
Source: Ensembl
GUUUUGCCCUGGUGUAAUAUUAUAUUCCUGUCAUUUAGAAGCACCGCUUCCAUCCAGGGGCGUAUGUAGACUUUAUUUCACCUGGGUCAAAGACCCAGUUUGGCACACACAUUUGUGUACAUACACACAUAGGCAGGGGACCUGAAUGUUAGAGGACAUUCGGCACAGAAACAUGUGUGUAUACCUUUAAGAAGUUUCUGGGAUUAAUUGGCUGCAGGUGACCGUUGCUAUAAAGGAAAAAGGCUGAGUUUUGUUGCUUGCCUGCAGGAAUAACACCCACCAGAGUUUGUGUUUAUUUGCUUAGUAAUAAAGUCUUCGUUUUAGUUUGGGUUUUUACACCUAUGUCUCCUGGAGUCACUCUGUCCUCUGCCACCGGCUGGAAAUCCCCCUCCAACAGGUUAUGGGCCCAGUCCCCAGUCCUGAGUGGGCAGAGACAGAGCGUGAAAAGAACCCAGAGACUGGAAGCAACUCAGCGUUUCUCAAGCAGCUGGCUGUGUGAAGGCAUCGGCAGGGAGUGUCUGUUUGGGACCAGGAGCCGAACAUUUCUUCAAGCCACGUGUGAGUAAGAACUGAGUGGAAAGCUGAAAGCUGGGUGGUGCCAUGGCUGGACUUGGAGCUGGAGCUCAAGGGGGAGCUUCCUAUUUUCCAGUAGAGAAACUGGGAGAGUCCAAUUAUAUGUCAUGGAGUUUACAGAUGCAGGCGUUUUUAAAGAAAGAACAAUGUUGGACUGUUAUUGUUAACCCUCCUGUAAAAGAGGAGGAUGAAGAAGUAGAUGAAGCAGACCAAAGGCUGGAGGACAAAGCCUAUGCCAAUUUAAUUUUGAGUUUAGAGAAGUCUCAGUUAUCUCAUGUGCGAGACCUUGAAACAGCAAGUGAGAUUUGGCAAGCACUGAGAGCAAUACAUAUUAGAGACACUGCUGGCAGCAAAAUUACUCUAAUGAGAGCUCUGUACCGAGCCAGACUAAGUGAGGGUGAAUGUGUUUCAACACACCUUCAAAGAAUGCGUGAUUUAUUUUCACAGUUAAAUGAACUUGGGGAACAUUUUUCUGAACAGAGAAAAGUUUAUAUUGUGCUGUCUUCACUUCCUGAGUCAUGGGACAAUUUAGUGAUGACUCUGGAAGCAAUCCCAGAAAGCCAAUUAACAAUGCAUUUCUUAACUGGGCGUUUGCUUGAUGAGGAGGAAAGACGCCAUGAGAGGAAGGCCACAACCCCUCACCGUAACUCCAGAAAUGGGAGGCAGUCCAGUAAAAGAUAUGCAACUGAUGAGGAGCGGCAUCCUAAAGAGGUUGUAGACCACAGAGAGGAAGCAGCGUUCACAGUUAGAAGAUGCUAUCGUUGUGGGUCAACCAAGCAUUUAGUACGACAGUGCACUGUGUCUGUGGGAGAAAAUACAAGACAAGGGCGGCCUGCGUUUGCUGGGAAGCGAGGAGACAGGAAGAGUCGAGUCCAGUAUGUUUCUGCAGCAGUUCGAGGCACCAGUCACGACGUUGGACAAGACUGGAUUUUAGACUCAGCAGCGACAAACAUUUUUGUUAAGUCUGCACAAACCCUUGUAGAAAAGCAGCCUUGUAAAUCUGUAAAUGUAGUACUAGCUGAUGGAACAGUGCAUGAGUCAGCUGGAAAGGGUAGUGUGAAUAUCAACUGUUUAAGUACCAAGUUUACCAAUGUUUUAUGUGUACCAAGUUUAGAAAAUAAUUUGCUUUCAGUUACAAGUCUUGUUAAGCAGGGAUUUAAAGUAACCUUUUCUGGUUCAGGCUGUAGAAUAGAGAAAGCUGGAAAAGUGGUUACAGCGUCACUACAAAAUGGUUUGUUUGUUUUGAAAGACCAGCUAGUAAGUGAGUCUGGGGCAUGUGUUAAAGCCUGUAAUAGAGCCUUGCAUGAUGAGUGCCAGCAUCUGUGGCAUCUUCGUUUGGGGCAUGCCAAUUUCCGCAGUAUUGCAAAAAUGCCAGAAUUAAGCAAGGGAAUUAAAAUGAAAAAAUGUUCAGUUUUUCUAGACUGCAAUACCUGCAAGGAGUCUAAAAGUAAGCAAGGGUCUUAUCCUGAAAGUACUAGAAUUAGCAAGAGGCCAUUUGCUUUAGUACAUUCAGACCUUUGUGGGCCAUUUGCAGAGUCUGAAGGAGGAGCAAAGUUUUUUUUGGUUCUUGUGGAUGAUUAUAGCCGGUAUACUUGGGUAUAUUUGUUAAAACACAAAAGUGAAACUGGUCAACUGAUUAAGAAUUGGGUCAACUAUAUAGAAAGGCAGUUUCCCUACAAAGUUACCCAGUUGCAAAGUGAUCGUGGAGGCGAGUUCAUGUCUGAAGCCCUCCAAGUUUGGUUGAAAAAGCGUGGUAUUAGUCACCGUAAAUUGUGUCCUUUUUCGCCUGAAGAAAAUUCAGUUGCAGAACGCAAGAUAAGAUCUUUACAAACAAUGCUAGAUUCAAUGCUAUGUGAUUCUGGCCUAUCCAGGAAGUAUUGGGGGGAAGGAAUUCUGUGUGCUAACUACAUACAGAACAGAUUGUUUCAUUCUACCAUAAACAACACCCCUCAUUUUUUGCUUUAUGGAAAAAAACCCUUUUUGGACCAUGUUAAAACUUUUGGUUGCUGGGCUUGGGUUCACAUCCCAAAAGGACAGAGAAGGAAAGGAGAGCCCAAGGCAAACCUCUGAUUCCCUUCUGCAACUUGCACGGAGGGCGCGGGGCUUACUCCACCACCCAAUCUUCCCG